Molecule: unclassified non-coding RNA, 293 nt
Filed under: uncultured Lacrymaria
Lineage: Eukaryota; Fungi; Basidiomycota; Agaricomycetes; Agaricales; Agaricaceae
Description: sequence contains ITS2
Rfam family: 5.8S ribosomal RNA (bases 1-52)
Source: RNAcentral
AACGCACCUUGCGCUCCUUGGUAUUCCGAGGAGCAUGCCUGUUUGAGUGUCAUUAAAUUCUCAACUUCAUCAACUUUGUUGUUGAAGCUUGGAUGUGGGGGUUUUGCAGGUCUGCCUUAAUUGUGUGGUCUGCUCUCCUGAAAUAUAUUAGCGGGUUGGCUUCCCUCUAUCAGUGUGAUAAUUAUCUACGCUGUGGAUGGGUUUGGCUUUCAGACCAGCUUCUAAUCGUCCUUCUAGGACAAUCUCGUGACAUUUUUGACCUCAAAUCAGGUAGGACUACCCGCUGAACUUAA